GGAAUAUAGCUCAGUUGGUAGAGUGCUUACCUCAUGUGUAUAAGGCCCUUGGUUCAAUCCCCAGCACCA
This 69-nucleotide transfer RNA is filed under the name Marmota monax (woodchuck). Its description in RNAcentral is "tRNA.Met". Lineage: Eukaryota; Metazoa; Chordata; Mammalia; Rodentia; Sciuridae. The record is from RNAcentral.